UAGGGAAUCUUCGGCAAUGGACGGAAGUCUGACCGAGCAACGCCGCGUGAGUGAAGAAGGUUUUCGGAUCGUAAAGCUCUGUUGUAAGAGAAGAACGGGUGUGAGAGUGGAAAGUUCACACUGUGACGGUAUCUUACCAGAAAGGGACGGCUAACUACGUGCCNGCAGCCGCGGUAAUACGUAGGUCCCGAGCGUUGUCCGGAUUUAUUGGGCGUAAAGCGAGCGCAGGCGGUUAGAUAAGUCUGAAGUUAAAGGCUGUGGCUUAACCAUAGUACGCUUUGGAAACUGUUUAACUUGAGUGCAAGAGGGGAGAGUGGAAUUCCAUGUGUAGCGGUGAAAUGCGUAGAUAUAUGGAGGAACACCGGUGGCGAAAGCGGCUCUCUGGCUUGUAACUGACGCUGAGGCUCGAAAGCGUGGGGAGCAAACAGGAUUAGAUACCCUGGUAGUCCACGCCGUAAACGAUGAGUGCUAGGUGUUAGACCCUUUCCGGGGUUUAGUGCCGCAGCUAACGCAUUAAGCACUCCGCCUGGGGAGUACGACCGCAAGGUUG
RNAcentral lists this ribosomal RNA (550 nucleotides) under uncultured bacterium. RNAcentral describes it as "bacterial SSU rRNA". It matches the Rfam family "Bacterial small subunit ribosomal RNA", at positions 355 to 896 of the family's 1533-position model. The record is from RNAcentral.